RNAcentral lists this long non-coding RNA (546 nucleotides) under Oryza brachyantha (malo sina). RNAcentral describes it as "long non-coding RNA (OBRA_LNC001980)". Lineage: Eukaryota; Viridiplantae; Streptophyta; Magnoliopsida; Poales; Poaceae. The record is from RNAcentral.
GGUUGUAGGGAGAGUGAGUGUUCACUGUUACGAUGAAUCAUUGUUCUAAAUUCAAAACUAAGAAAGUAAGAAUAACUACUUAGACCAUUGUGACAUGGUGGAUUUGUGGUUUCCGAGAAAGGAUAAUGCCACCUUAGUAGAUUAAGAACUGAGCCAUGUUGGAUUUGUGUGGUUUCCAUGAAAACGAACCUAGCAACGACUAUAUUUCUCGAAUGUGUAUAGAUCUAACAGUGUAAAUAGUUGAGCAAAGGUGGUUUCUAAGUUGUGCUGGUUUCACUUAGGUGUGUGGAUGGGCGGGAAGCUCGGUUGGCGGCACGCUAGAGGCAACGUGAUCCAAUUAACAUGGAAUUAAGCUUCUUAAUGAAACUUGAUGUGUAUUUCCCUCUCGAGAACACUAGAACUUCUCACACUGCUAGAAACAGUACGCCUAGUGUGCAUGAGGGCUAGAGUUCAUGGAGCAGGUACCACCGAUGUUGGGUUAUUGAAAUACUUUGUCGUGAAAACUCUCCUUUGUGGGGAGUAGGCUCAUUUGUUGGGCAAGUUACG